AUUGAACGCUAGCGGGAUGCUUUACACAUGCAAGUCGAACGGCAGCGCGGACUUCGGUCUGGCGGCGCGUGGCGAACGGGUGAGUAAUGUAUCGGAACGUGCCCAGUAGCGGGGGAUAACUACGCUAAAGCGUAGCUAAUACCGCCUACGCCCUACGGGGGAAAGCAGGGGAUCGUAAGACCUUGCACUAUUGGAGCUGCCGAUAUCGGAUUAGCUCGUUGGUGAGGUAACGGCUCACCAAGGCGACUAUCCGUAGCUGGUGUGUGAGGACGACCAGCCACACUGGGAGUGAGACACGGCCCAGACUCCUACGAGAGGCAGCAGUGGGGAAUUUUGGACAAUGGGGGCAACCCUGAUCCAGCCAUCCCACGUGUGCGAGGAAGGCCUUCGGGUUGUAAAGCACUUUUGGCAGGAAAGAAACGUCGCGGGCUAAUACCCCGAGGAACUGACGGUACCUGCAGAAUAAGCACCGGCUAACUACGUG
Molecule: ribosomal RNA, 484 nt
Filed under: uncultured bacterium
Lineage: Bacteria
Description: partial 16S ribosomal RNA
Rfam family: Bacterial small subunit ribosomal RNA
Source: RNAcentral